RNAcentral lists this ribosomal RNA (505 nucleotides) under uncultured bacterium. Its description in RNAcentral is "partial 16S ribosomal RNA". It matches the Rfam family "Bacterial small subunit ribosomal RNA", at positions 28 to 507 of the family's 1533-position model. The record is from RNAcentral.
GACGAACGCUGGCGGCGCGCCUAAUACAUGCAAGUAGAACGCACAGUUUAUACCGUAGCUUGCUACACCAUAGACUGUGAGUUGCGAACGGGUGAGUAACGCGUAGGUAACCUGCCUGGUAGCGGGGGAUAACUAUUGGAAACGAUAGCUAAUACCGCAUAAUAUUGAUUAUUGCAUGAUAAUUGAUUGAAAGAUGCUAUUGCAUCACUACCAGAUGGACCUGCGUUGUAUUAGCUAGUAGGUGAGGUAACGGCUCACCUAGGCGACGAUACAUAGCCGACCUGAGAGGGUGAUCGGCCACACUGGGACUGAGACACGGCCCAGACUCCUACGGGAGGCAGCAGUAGGGAAUCUUCGGCAAUGGACGAAAGUCUGACCGAGCAACGCCGCGUGAGUGAAGAAGGUUUUCGGAUCGUAAAGCUCUGUUGUAAGAGAAGAACGGGUGUGAGAGUGGAAAGUUCACACUGUGACGGUAUCUUACCAGAAAGGGACGGCUAACUACGUG